Molecule: ribosomal RNA, 253 nt
Filed under: uncultured bacterium
Lineage: Bacteria
Description: partial 16S ribosomal RNA
Rfam family: Bacterial small subunit ribosomal RNA
Source: RNAcentral
UACGUAGGUGGCAAGCGUUGUCCGGAAUUACUGGGCGUAAAGUGUGCGCAGGCGGCACCGCAAGUCGAGUGUGAAAGCCCCGGGCUUAACUUGGGAAUUGCGCUCGAAACUAUGGUGCUGGAGUGUGGCAGAGGAAGGUGGAAUUCCACGUGUAGCGGUGAAAUGCGUAGAGAUGUGGAGGAACACCGAUGGCGAAGGCAGCCUUCUGGGCCAACACUGACGCUCAUGCACGAAAGCGUGGGGAGCAAACAGG